AGCAGCCGCGGUAAUUCCAGCUCCAAUAGCGUAUAUUAAAGUUGUUGCAGUUAAAAGCUCGUAGUUGAAUUUCGGGAUCAAGUCGUCGGUCGUGCUCAGGUACGUACUGGCGUCAUUGAUUUCUCCCUUCUGACGAACCAUGAUGUCAUUAAUUUGGUGUUAUGGGAAAUCAGGACUGUUACUUUGAAAAAUUAGAGUGUUUAAAGCAGGCUCACGCUUGAAUACAUUAGCGUGGAAUAAUGAAAUAGGACGUUCGAUCCUAUUUUGUUGGUUUUAGGAUCAACGUAAUGAUUAAUAGGGAUAGUUGGGGGCAUUAGUAUUCAAUUGUCAGAGGUGAAAUUCUUGGAUUUAUUGAAGACUAACUACUGCGAAAGCAUUUGCCAAGGAUGUUUUUCAUUAAUCAAGAACGAAAGUUAGGGGAUCGAAGACGAUCAGAUACCGUCGUAGUCUUAACCAUAAACUAUGCCGACUAGGGAUCGGAUGAUGUUAAUUUUUUAAUGACUCAUUCGGCGCCUUACGG
This 520-nucleotide ribosomal RNA is filed under the name uncultured Glomus. Its description in RNAcentral is "SSU rRNA". It matches the Rfam family "Eukaryotic small subunit ribosomal RNA", at positions 569 to 1093 of the family's 1831-position model. The record is from RNAcentral. Lineage: Eukaryota; Fungi; Glomeromycota; Glomeromycetes; Glomerales; Glomeraceae.